UGGUUUCCGGCUCGAGACUGACGCUGUGGCUGUAUGACUGAUUCAGUACAUAUGUGUUUGCUUGCGAUGUUGCUGAACAAGUUAUUUAGGGGCGUUCAAGGUAGGACUGCCAACAUCUGGCCGGCUCCACCCCCUUCACUCAGUCAGGAAGUGGACUACGCGGCCCAGUGGGCCCCACCGUGGUAUUCCUUGUCGUUCGCAGCGGGGUUGGCACCGGGAACCGGCCAGAGAGCUGUGGGGUUAUUAAGGGACUCAGCUUGGCAUCGCUGAACUCUCUGGCUCCACUCCGGAGGAGGGUUUACACUGAGCUGAUGCGUUUGGGGGUGGAAGGUUGGAAAAAAAAAACCCCAGCAUGCUUGGUGUCUUUGGUGCCGGCUAUAGCCACACCUGUGAGGACUGACUCUUGACGGACCGUUGUUUUCUAACUAGAAUGCAACGACAAUGUCAUGUCAGAAAAACAGAACUGGGAAGAUUCAUAUCCGCGCCGAACGCAUUUCACAGUUUCUUUCAAAAAGACUGGCACUAUAGGAGAGGAUCACCAAACUCAGUAAAAUACAGAAAAUAUCACGGUAAUCCAUCCAAUAGCUGUUGAGACAUUGCAGUCUGGACCAAAGAGAUGGACUUACAGACCGAUAGGCUGACGUAGCCUUAUUAAUACUCAUAUGCGUAUAAGUCUGGAACUGUCAGUUCAUUUUGUCGAUUUCCAAGAGGCGUCCCCAAUGGACGCAGACCAAAACGCCUCCGGACGCCAUUGGACAGAGUUACAACCAUUGAGACCAACGGGUCACGGGACAGCUGUUUAGCGACGCGAAGAAAUGUAAACAGGCUACAGGCGAGAGGAGACGUCUGUGAUGAUGAUUCCGCCACGUCUGUGGACGAGUUUGUGGAAAUACCGAGUACUUUUUCACCAAAUGCUCAUUCAUCAGCUGCGGCCAUCGUGGCUGUUUUACAAAAGUCACUGUCUAAACCCCGCCCGCUAUCAGAUAAUCGGUUGUGAUUAGACCGGCACAAUUUCUGCUGGUGGGAUAUCACUUCCCAAUUGAGGGGGUUCAGAUGCAAAUGAAAGCAAUAAUUUGUGCCGGUCCCAGGCUAACAGACCGACAAAGCCACCAGCCGUGCCGGCUCUAAUAAACCUAAGAAAUAUGUUGUUAUUUUUGAGUCUCUCUCCUGACCGAGCAACUUGAACAAACGCAGCGCAGGAAAAUACAUUUUGCAAGAACAGAAUUAUAUUUCAUAAUUAUAUUAUGUCGUUUACAUGUUUACGAUUAUCCACAUUAACGUGCAGUAAUAACCCCUCUCGAGCGGUUGCAUUCACGUACACUCAAACUGGCUCUGUGAGACCGUGGCUCGCUCGAUCACGGUGUCGAUCCCUCUCGAACUCUAGACACUCUGUGCUCGCUCAAGUUUGCCUUCCCGCUCGCUCAACAUGGCGGUGUCAUAUUUGUGCCACAAAAUCAGCCAAUGGCUGUAUCAUUGUGUGUUUGCGUGUGUUGGUUAGUUGGUUUAUUUAGGUUUACAUUAAAAUGAGCAAAGCAUGACAAUUUGUGUGAAUAUACAAAUGAAAAAAAGAAAUAACUAUACACGUUUACACCAGUCCAUUUCACGCAAUAUAACUCAAACAAUCAACAACUGAAAAGGGAAUAGACUGAAGCACAAGGCUUAUUUUUGCCUAUCCUAUCCAAUCCAUAGGAUAACCCAGAAUAUUAGCAAUAUGAAAGAAACAAAAGAAAAAAACUAAAGAAAAACGUUUAAUAAUGAUUAAUCAAAAUCAUGGUCCUUAAUAAAAAUGUAAUAUACAUUUUUAAGCAUUUACAUUAUAACACUUAAUUAGUUAAAAAAAAAAAACUGAAACACAUCUGUAUUUUACCUAGG
Scophthalmus maximus (turbot) is the source of this 1872-nucleotide long non-coding RNA. RefSeq lists it as uncharacterized. NCBI's taxonomy places the organism in Eukaryota, Metazoa, Chordata, Actinopteri, Pleuronectiformes, Scophthalmidae. The transcript has 2 exons. The record is from RefSeq and is a predicted model, not a curated record.